Sphaeramia orbicularis (orbiculate cardinalfish) is the source of this 709-nucleotide long non-coding RNA. RefSeq lists it as uncharacterized. The transcript is spliced from 2 exons. The record is from RefSeq and is a predicted model, not a curated record. Lineage: Eukaryota; Metazoa; Chordata; Actinopteri; Kurtiformes; Apogonidae.
AACUCUCUUUUCUCUACUGCUCUGGCUCCAAGGUACUAGAGAUUGAGGUAUAUGUGUGUGAAACGUGUGUCUGUUGAUUUCAUGGUAUAAACUGUGAUUUAUUUUGAGUUAAGAGGCUACUAGGGCUAACUUUCUCAUUUUGAUUCAACUGACUAUAGCGCCAGGUAUUAUUAUCUUUGACCUGUAAAUGGCAGAAUGGGAACACAGAAACUUGUUAUUUCAGUCAUUUUAUUCAAUAUAAUGAAUAGAUUCUGUCUAAAACUGCAGUUGGGUUUACAGUUAUUCAUUGCUUAUGAAAAAAGCAGAUACAUGUUCACAGAAAGGAGCAGAGGAGAUGGCUUCUCAAUAUACUGCCAGUAAAGAAAAAAUGGAUCAUAGAAUUCACAGCUUAUGCCACUUGUACCUGAAAAUGUUUUAUGGAGUGGACUGUACAAAGUUUGCACAUUGUCCCACCUGAAAGGUCCUAAUUAUUAUGUGGACUAAAAGUUGAUUAAAAACAACUAGUACUGGAUUGGAUUUAUGACUCGAUGUCCUUUUUUUACAUCAAGUAAUUGAAAGUAACUAAGUAACUUUUACUCAAAUAAAUUAUAAAUUAAGUACUUUUUUACUUUUACUCAAGUAGAUUUUUAGAUAGGUACUUUUGCUUUUACUUGAGUAGAAUUUAAGCAAAGUAAAGAUACUUUUACUUAAUUCCAAUUUUUCAGUACUU